This 377-nucleotide ribosomal RNA is filed under the name uncultured bacterium. RNAcentral describes it as "bacterial SSU rRNA". It matches the Rfam family "Bacterial small subunit ribosomal RNA", at positions 521 to 896 of the family's 1533-position model. The record is from RNAcentral.
UAAUACGGAGGGGGCAAGCGUUGUUCGGAAUUAUUGGGCGUAAAGGGCGCGUAGGCGGCCAUGCAAGUCGGUUGUGAAAUCCCUUGGCUCAACCAAGGAACUGCGUCCGAAACUGCAUGGCUCGAGUCCGGGAGAGGGUAGUGGAAUUCCCAGUGUAGCGGUGAAAUGCGUAGAUAUUGGGAGGAACACCGGUGGCGAAGGCGGCUACCUGGACCGGUACUGACGCUGAGGCGCGAAAGCUAGGGGAGCAAACAGGAUUAGAUACCCUGGUAGUCCUAGCUGUAAACGAUGAGCACUUGGUGUAGCGGGUAUUGACCCCUGCUGUGCCGAAGCUAACGCAUUAAGUGCUCCGCCUGGGGAGUACGGUCGCAAGGCUG